AUGUGUUAGUGGCUGCGAACAUUGUAGAAGGGACUCAGUUGCCGUCGACAGACGGGGCCUUUCGUGGUGGUCGCCCCCCUGGUCAUGGUCGUUGCCGAAGCUUUCGUCCUCGUAUCCAAUGUCAAAUCUGCAGCCGAUUUGGUCAUCUCGCGCAGCAAUAUUACUACCGCUAUCAUCGUGAGGGGCAGCCGUUGUUGGAAGCACGGGUGCUGGAAGGGAGCCAUGGUGGUUUUACUUUUGGUGAGAACAGAGAAGAGUUUGGACGUGAGAAUCGAAUCCCUAUGUAUGGUCAAAAUUGGGGUUUUCUGGUCAACAUUGAAGGCCUCAAAUUCGGCUGAAUGAAGUUUUUAUUGACCUUCUAUCACGUGGGCCAUCUACAGGUUAUAAAAGUAAUGGAUUUAAUCCAUUUAAUCAAGCUGGUAAUGGGCAAAAUGAUGGUGCUGGCCAAAAUUUCAAUUCUGGCUCUUAUGGGCGUAAUGACUUUGGCAUUGGACGGCGUUCCCUUGACCUACAAUUUGAUGGUGAUUCUUUGGGCCACCCGUAUAGUGGGCCGACUUCUAGACCCCGUGGGCCCAGUGGGUCGGUUCGGUCCCGUUCGAAUGAUGACCAUAUUUUGCCAGAGCCUUCUGCUAACUGUGUCAAUGUUACCCGAUCUUGGAAGACUGUUCAUGAGGCUCCGUGGCGUACUAAACCGCGUGCUCGUGUGUUUAGUGUGGAUUCUUCUUCGUAUGAUUUGUCUCAAUUUGUUGGGAUCCCUCUCCGGCUUCUUGAGUUUAGGAAGUACAUCAUGAUGCUCAGACUUAGGGGUUAUUCACCAUGUUUGUCGAGACACUUCGGAUCUACAUGGUUCCACUCUGUACUCUGGACUCCAGACACGGGAAAUCUUAAUGCGGGGUCAAGUUCGUGAUGGGCUCUAUCAUUUCUCAGCUGGUUCAGAUAGUGUGUUAUCUUCUGUUCCCACUGCUGCUCACGUUUACUCUUCCGUUGAUGAUGUGUUUAGUUUGUGGCAUAAAAGGCUGGGUCAUCCGGCGGAUAAUAUUGUAAAAAAUGUUCUUACAAGUUGUCAAAUUUCUUUCAAUAAAAACCGUCUUGCUAGUGUUUGUGUAGCUUGUCAAAAAGGUAAAUCACAUAAGUUGCCUUUUUCACCUUCUAGCACUAAAUAUGUUGAUUUGUUUGAAUUGGUUGUUUCGAAUUUGCGGCGCCCAGCUGCUGUUUCAUGUGAAGGAAA
This is a long non-coding RNA of Gossypium arboreum, 1228 nucleotides long. RefSeq lists it as uncharacterized. Lineage: Eukaryota; Viridiplantae; Streptophyta; Magnoliopsida; Malvales; Malvaceae. The transcript has 3 exons. The record is from RefSeq and is a predicted model, not a curated record.